RNAcentral lists this ribosomal RNA (468 nucleotides) under uncultured bacterium. RNAcentral describes it as "partial 16S ribosomal RNA". It matches the Rfam family "Bacterial small subunit ribosomal RNA", at positions 28 to 507 of the family's 1533-position model. The record is from RNAcentral.
GACGAACGCUGGCGGCGUGCUUAACACAUGCAAGUCGAACGGAAAGGCCAUGCUUUUGUGGGGUGCUCGAGUGGCGAACGGGUGAGUAACACGUGAGUAUCCUGCCCUUGACUUUGGGAUAACUUCAGGAAACUGGGGCUAAUACCGGAUAGGAGCUCCUGCUGCAUGGUGGGGGUUGGAAAGUUUCGGCGUUUGGGGAUGGACUCGCGGCUUAUCAGCUUGUUGGUGGAGUAGUGGCUUACCAAGGCUUCUACGGCUAGCCCGCCUGAGAGGGUGGCCGGCGUCAUUGGGACUGAAGUAGGCCCCAGACGCAUACAGGAGGCAGAAGUGGGGAAUAUUGCACAAUGGGCGGAAGCCGGAUGCAGAAACGCCGCGUGCGGGAUGACGGCCUUCGAGGUAUAAACCUCUUUCGAAUGAAAAGAACCGUGAGUGACGGUAAUGGGUAAAAAAGCACCGGCUAACUACGUG